CAAUUAAAUUUCAUUAACUUAGUUAAAAAUUAGAUUAACUAACCCAACUCUAAAAUUUAAAAAAUGUCAAUUACAUUACUAACACAUACCUAUCAGAUACCAUAAAAUUGGCUGAAGUUUAAAUACCAUAGCGUAGUAUUCAUAUCUGAUAGUGCGAGACAGGAUCAAUAAAAAAUUGUUUAAAAAUGUUUAAAGACCGGAACUGUCGACAAAAUCUACAAAAAGCUUUAGAACUAUUGCAGAACUAUUGAAAAAUGCUAUGUACUCUGCGUUGAUACCACUGUUU
Monomorium pharaonis (pharaoh ant) is the source of this 286-nucleotide long non-coding RNA. RefSeq lists it as uncharacterized. Lineage: Eukaryota; Metazoa; Arthropoda; Insecta; Hymenoptera; Formicidae. The record is from RefSeq and is a predicted model, not a curated record. The transcript is spliced from 4 exons.